Fundulus heteroclitus (mummichog) is the source of this 1083-nucleotide long non-coding RNA. RefSeq lists it as uncharacterized. The transcript has 5 exons. The record is from RefSeq and is a predicted model, not a curated record. Lineage: Eukaryota; Metazoa; Chordata; Actinopteri; Cyprinodontiformes; Fundulidae.
CACCUCCUUCACAGCAGACAGGAUGCCAGCGAUCAGAGUCCCUCCCUCACCUGCCUGAGAGCUGCGAGGCCCUUAAAGCAGAGGCAGCAGCGUGACUGACAGCCAGUUGGUGAGAGAGCUUCAGGGGAGUUUCAUCAGAGCCGAGCUGCAAAGAAUACAGAGCGUUUGGGACAACAUGGCUCCAGUAGGCAUGGAUGGCGUUGCGGGCUGGGUUUCGUCCCCAGAAGUGGGCAUCAUCUUUUUGGUCGCCUUCCUCAUCCUAAGCAUCACUCUCCUCGCCGUAUGCACCCAAUGCAGAAAGAGCUUUGACCCGAACGACCCAAAGAAUAGAAAGGCCAAUGAGAACACAAACGGAGAAGGUCUCGACUUCCAGUUGACUUGGAGGGAUCACAAAGACAUGCCACCUUCCUCACUGAAAAGACCCCAAGCAACGAACGAGCCAGUCACCCUUUCACCCCAACAUUGAUGUCACAAGCACGCCUCAAGAAAACCUAAUUUCUCGGACAAGAAGAAAAAAAAAAACAAAAAAACAUAAUCUCGUCAUCCAGUUUUCCUGACCUGACAUUGGACCAAAUGGAUAAAUGGACAAAAAAGGGGAGACGGAGUGGGAGGAAGACCUGGGCCUGUCCUCGGGCGCACUAAGCUAGCAUCCAUCCAGCUAGCAUUUUCUCAUUAUGGCAGGCAUUUACUGAUUUGAGCAAUUUUUUUUAUGAAAGCCUUCCUUUGUUAAGUUAUUUGUGUAUCAGACAUCCAAUUUCUAUCUGCUCUUUGAUGUGAACAGAAAAUAUGUUUCUGGUAUUUACCUAUGUAUAUAGCUAGCAGAGCUAUUUCAAAAUAUGUUGCUUGAACAACAGUAUAUGUAAGUGUAAGAAUAUGCAACCGUGAUCAAUGGAAAGUAGCAAACCCCCUUUUUUUGCUUUAAAUUAACUUUUAUAAAAGUGGUUAGGUUGUCCAGUCUUUAAGCUAAAUCGUCUGUGAGUCAUUUUUAGACGCUGUUAGAAUCAUCGCGAGUACACAAUAUUCCUGUUUGGUGCUAUCUGCUAUCUUGUCAUGUAAUAUCUUAUUAAAAUAACUUUUCACAUG